GAUGGAUGUAUUUUACACUGAUUAUGUGUAGCCAUGAUUUAAUUUUACAAAAGAAGGAGAUAUUCUAUGAGUUUGAUAUCCUGUAAACUUUUCCGCUGAAAAUCAAAAUAAUGACUGCAUAAAAUACAAAGCAACCUCCCUAAAGACUGAUGAGGUGGUACUUCUACCCAUUUACCUUGGAAGGAAGGCAUGCUCUCAGGGUAAGGGUGGAAGACAUCUCCCUCCCACACGGAGGUGGAUGUAACCUGGCUGGUGGUGACAAUACUGCUAGGCCUUGAAGGUAAGAUUGUGGUCCUCCAAGCCACUAGAACAGCGCCUAAAAAUUGGCAAGGGUAGAGCUUAGAAAUGGUUAUCCCACCUUAUCCCACUGUCCCCCUACAGACAUCGGCCCACACCCUAUACCACCAGACAUGAACACCAGUUUUGCAGACACACAGGAGCCACAAAAUCCCCCUCCCUGGCCUCAAAAAAAAGUACCUUAUUGUAAUGUUUGAUAACAGAAAUGAAAGUGUGAGAAGGGAAAUCGAAAGUUUGAAAUCCCUGGUCAGGGUGGACACUUCGAAUUGUGAGGUGGUGCCCUCACAUGUGAAAGUGCACUGAUGCCAAGAGAGACAUUCAGUAAACUAAAGGAGUGCUUCAGGAAGAGCAUCUCCAAUAUGAGAAGAGAAACUGAAAUUGAAGGAUGACCUGAUAUGGUUUGGAUAUGGUGCUAUGCUGACAGAAUCAUUUGACAUUUCAUCUGUGAGACCCAGUUUCCUGAAAUCUGACCUCUGUACUGCUUCCUAUAUAUUCCAUG
Molecule: long non-coding RNA, 796 nt
Organism: Octopus sinensis (East Asian common octopus)
Lineage: Eukaryota; Metazoa; Mollusca; Cephalopoda; Octopoda; Octopodidae
Exons: 3
Source: RefSeq, a predicted model, not a curated record